Molecule: ribosomal RNA, 497 nt
Filed under: uncultured bacterium
Lineage: Bacteria
Description: partial 16S ribosomal RNA
Rfam family: Bacterial small subunit ribosomal RNA
Source: RNAcentral
GAUGAACGCUGGCGGCGUGCCUAAUACAUGCAAGUCGAGCGAACAGACGAGGAGCUUGCUCCUCUGACGUUAGCGGCGGACGGGUGAGUAACACGUGGAUAACCUACCUAUAAGACUGGGAUAACUUCGGGAAACCGGAGCUAAUACCGGAUAAUAUAUUGAACCGCAUGGUUCAAUAGUGAAAGACGGUUUUGCUGUCACUUAUAGAUGGAUCCGCGCCGCAUUAGCUAAUUGGUACGGUAACGGCUUACCAAGGCAACGAUGCGUAGCCGACCUGAGAGGGUGAUCGGCCACACUGGAACUGAGACACGGUCCAGACUCCUACGGGAGGCAGCAGUAGGGAAUCUUCCGCAAUGGGCGAAAGCCUGACGGAGCAACGCCGCGUGAGUGAUGAAGGUCUUCGGAUCGUAAAACUCUGUUAUUAGGGAAGAACAAAUGUGUAAGUAACUAUGCACGUCUUGACGGUACCUAAUCAGAAAGCCACGGCUAACUACGUG